This 1988-nucleotide long non-coding RNA is filed under the name Solanum tuberosum (potato). Its description in RNAcentral is "long non-coding RNA (STUB_LNC008848)". Lineage: Eukaryota; Viridiplantae; Streptophyta; Magnoliopsida; Solanales; Solanaceae. The record is from RNAcentral.
CCAAAACAAAUGGACCUUCUAGCCCAAUAAUUACAAAAUACAAUUGCUGAAAUUUUAAGUGGGCUUUUGCCCCUCUUUCUGCCGUAUCACAAUGUAUACAACAUGUAUACAUCCUUUGAUCUCACUCCGAACACGUGCAUUUCAGCUCCCGGGACCCGUUUUUUGAUUCCAUUGGCUGGCCGACGCGAAAAGGAAAGGGUUUGAGCCUUUAUGGCUCUCUCGAAGUGCUAAGGGAAGGAGGAGUUCAUAGUGAACUCGGACAUAUUUCACAUACAAAACAAAAUAAGGGAAAAGAGUUAAUACAUAAUUCAAUCAACAUAAAUGCAGGAAGGAUAAACUAAUUCACAGGAAAAUACACACUAACUCAAGAAUGUAUAACUUAAAAUGUAAUUAGUCCAUACAGUAAGACAUAAAAAAAAAGAAAAAUGACAACUUUAAAUGAGCAAUUAAAAGGCCCAGUAGUCACUACUCAAAGUUAAUUAUCCUUAAUUGUGGGAAAUGAUGAAUGCUUACUCAUUUAAUAUAUAUAUAUAUAUAUAUAUAUAUAAAGUGAAUGAAUUUAACAGAAUUAGGCAUGAAGAGAUACUUCUUAUAAUGAAAAAUCUAAACUAAAGGCAAUGAGAAGAAACAUUAUCUUUUCACACAUUAUCCAAAGUAAUAACAAGAUGACCAAAUUGAUUAAGAAGCGCUAACACUAUGAUUGAUGCACACUCACAAUACUGAACGAAAUCAACUGCUCGGCAAGGUGAGGUUGAAAUAACACGCUAACUUGAGACUUCUCGAAAAUCCAAAGAAAUCAACGAAUUAACAGGGGAUCUUACCAUUGAAGCUUGAAAACGAAAUUAACUUGGGCAUAAAAAAUAAAGGUCAAGCUUGGAAACUAAGUCAAAACAGCCAUGUCUUUAGAAUAGUAAUUAGUCAUAAUAGAUACUCAUGUUCAUUGACACACAAACAGUAACCUCGGAAAAAAGGAUCAUCAAUACUCGAACAAAGAAUAAACGGUUUGAAACAUAAGCACAUUUAGACAUCUUAAUAUAUGAAACACGCUUAAUAUCGCAGGAAAUUCGAAUAGAGACCCAAAUCACCCUAAAGAACUAAAUGAGAACUAGAAAGACACCAACUAGCGUAAAAAGAAACAAAGUAAAACUUUUAACGUACUAACCGAAUUAGUCACAACAGAUCAAACCAGACUUUUAGCUGACUUUAUGAACCUAAUCAUAUAAAUACAAGAAAGAAACCAACUUGACCGAACGAUUUCCACAUUUUAAGAAAUCAUACGGAAAUUUACAGCAACCUAAAAAGGGAACAAAGCACUGAACAAAUUCCAGCGAACAAACAACAAACAAGCAUUUCUAUCUAUUCAAACACACAAGCGGAAAAUAGAGAAUGAUUAGAGGUUAACAAGAGGCAGAGUUAAGCAUAGAGAGUUUUACCUUUUUUCGGGCAGCGACGGGGACUCGAGCCACUAAAGACGAUUCCACCACCAACCCCUUACUUCAAUAAACCCGGAAGGAUGACGAACGGGAGGAGAGAGUAAAAAGGAACUCAAAAAUUAGUUCUCCUCUCUAUUUCUUUGAGUGUAUUUGUAUAUAUUCUCUGUCUCCUUUCAAAAUCUUAUACGUUGUUCUCUCUAUGUAGUUAAAUUUUCGCCAAUUCUUUCCAAUUUUUCUUCCCUAACUCUAUUUUCCACUUUUCUCUAGAUUUCUCUGUGAAGCUAGCCUCCAAAAAUCCCCCCCUAGCAGCAAAGACAACAGAAUAUAUAUAUAGAAGAAGAACUAGGGCAGAUUUGGGGGGAAAAGGGACGAAAAUUUGGGUUCAAGGCCCAUUCCGAAUUCAAAAUUGAAAAUCUUACACAAUUCUGGAGAGGCAACCUUUUCUCUGAAAAAUUCACCCCAUUCCGAAAGAGGAAAGGGAGAUGGACGGACUCGAUUGACCUCUCGUCCUUGAGUGCCGAUGUGGAGUAAUCUCGUGGCUACAAGGACUAAGGC